Molecule: long non-coding RNA, 1505 nt
Organism: Lepidothrix coronata (blue-crowned manakin)
Lineage: Eukaryota; Metazoa; Chordata; Aves; Passeriformes; Pipridae
Exons: 8
Source: RefSeq, a predicted model, not a curated record
AAUACCUUUAAUAUGGUCACAAGUGGGAUCAAAGGUGGCAAGAUUUUCACCACCCACAAUUAAAAACAAAGAAAGGAGAACAGAAUGAACCAAAUGAACUGAAAUGGAUCAGAAAAUGGAUGGGGAAAAUUCCAGCUCUUUCUCUCUGGUAUUAUGGUCAAGCAGAAGAAGAAGAAGAAAAAACCUUGAGAAAAUAGAAGGCAACUGUUUUCUGUUCCUGGUUGCAAAUAAUCCUACAGGCAAUUUUCUCACAUUGCAGCUAUUCCUUGAAAGCAGAUCCAUUUUUCCUUGCUUUUGCCUUUAGCCCCUGUCCAGUUCUGCCACGUGUUUCAAGUUGGAGUGACCAGAGCAUGUGCGUUAUCUCCUCCUACCUGCUUCACAGUGCCCUCUAUAUCUGCCACAUCCGGAGGUCUCCCACCUAAAAUAAACAUCAGUGUGGUGCCCCACAGACUUUGGGGAGAUUUACUGAACAUAAUGCCACGUGUCUGUGCCCAGGGGUGUUCACAGCAGGUUUCCUGCAGCCCAGUGCCCUCCAGGAUGUACAUCCCAGACAUGUUCCAGAGCUACCAAAGAGUUGCGGUGUGCACAAGCCUAGUGGACCUACAAGCAAGUCAGUGUAGGACAUCCUAGUCCUGCUAAUGAAGAUGUUAUCUCUGGAAACUUUCUGCACUGCUCAGCACUGGUGCCAUCCAACUGCCAAAUAGUGACUGCAGCAACAUCCAGGAGCACUGGGGGAGUCUGCCAGUUGUAGCCACCCUCUCCCUUCCAUGUCUGAGUGUCUCUGCAGAAAUCUGUGUUUGAAGGAACCCAAUUGGCUGGUUCCUGUCAGUCUGUCUCAUGUUUCAUAGUCUCAAGUUAUUAGUUAAGAAGAUGCCAGACCUAGAGGGGUCCUCUGCAGCAAAAAGGCUAUGCCACCUGAAAACUGAUAGAAGCUUUAUAUUCUGAGCCGAAAGCAAAUGAGUGCAACGACCGUGGGCCCAUCUGGGGCUGCUCCAAACUGCUGUCAUUAGCGGAGAAGUCAAUGGGCUCAUCAACAAGACAACAAGAGAAGAGACCACAGAGCUACAAUUUUACUGGAGACCAGGAAAAGGAAUUCCAGGCAUCAGCUGCAUUAGGGAUGUUUCUCUUCCAGCACUGGAGGCUGAAUUUAGAGAUGUACUGAAGUAGCUCCUGGGCCUUGUUUUGUCCCUGUGAGACACCAGGCUGAGCACUUGGCCUGGAUCCCUGUUGGGAGGGGUGGGAAUCCCACCUUUCCUGCUUCUUCUGGAGCUGUGGGAUAACGGGCGAGGCAGAGUCGCUGAUCCGGGGUGGGAGCUGUGGGGAUUUAUUCCCUUGUUGUUCUUUGCACAGCAGGCACUGGGGCAAAUGUUUAUCAGGAAAGAAAAACCAGAGGGUUGAACAGAACUAAAGAGGAAUUGCAGCAUGUUUCAACAGUUUUCUCCCAGGCAUUGUACCAGCUUUUGCUUUGCACACCUCUACCAAAAUUAAACAGUGUUUUGAAUUUA